Molecule: ribosomal RNA, 253 nt
Filed under: uncultured bacterium
Lineage: Bacteria
Description: partial 16S ribosomal RNA
Rfam family: Bacterial small subunit ribosomal RNA
Source: RNAcentral
UACGUAGGGUGCAAGCGUUAAUCGGAAUUACUGGGCGUAAAGCGUGCGCAGGCGGUUAUGUAAGACAGAUGUGAAAUCCCCGGGCUCAACCUGGGAACUGCAUUUGUGACUGCAAGGCUAGAGUACGGCAGAGGGGGAUGGAAUUCCGCGUGUAGCAGUGAAAUGCGUAGAUAUGCGGAGGAACACCAAUGGCGAAGGCAAUCCCCUGGGCCUGUACUGACGCUCAUGCACGAAAGCGUGGGGAGCAAACAGG